UACGAAGGGGGCUAGCGUUGCUCGGAAUCACUGGGCGUAAAGCGCACGUAGGCGGAUUGUUAAGUCAGGGGUGAAAUCCUGGAGCUCAACUCCAGAACUGCCUUUGAUACUGGCGAUCUUGAGUUCGGGAGAGGUGAGUGGAACUGCGAGUGUAGAGGUGAAGUUCGUAGAUAUUCGCAAGAACACCAGUGGCGAAGGCGGCUCACUGGACCGGUAUUGACGCUGAGGUGCGAAAGCGUGGGGAGCAAACAGG
Molecule: ribosomal RNA, 253 nt
Filed under: uncultured bacterium
Lineage: Bacteria
Description: partial 16S ribosomal RNA
Rfam family: Bacterial small subunit ribosomal RNA
Source: RNAcentral